Molecule: ribosomal RNA, 229 nt
Filed under: uncultured bacterium
Lineage: Bacteria
Description: partial 16S ribosomal RNA
Rfam family: Bacterial small subunit ribosomal RNA
Source: RNAcentral
GCAAGUCGAGCGCGAAAGCCUUUCGGGGUGAGUAGAGCGGCGGACGGGUGAGUAACGCGUGGGAAUAUGCCCUUCUCUAAGGAAUAGCCUCUGGAAACGGAGAGUAAUACCUUAUACGCCCUUUGGGGGAAAGAUUUAUCGGAGAAGGAUUAGCCCGCGUUAGAUUAGGUAGUUGGUGGGGUAAUGGCCUACCAAGCCUACGAUCUAUAGCUGGUUUGAGAGGAUGAUC